CCUUCAAUAAAUGUAUCCAGAAGUUGUCGUUCCGACCAAUCUCUAGCUUGAUUUGAUAAUCUUUCAAACCUACUCUGAUAUUCCAACACUGUAGAAGUCUGACAAAUUUUGGCGAGCUGUCCAUCCACCUUCAUGUACGAGUAGAUUAUGUCACAAUCUUGGAGCCCUUUUCUAGUAUUUCCAGAUCUGUGCAAUGUAGAACUUGAGCUCCCACCUUGUUGAAAUUUACUAAGGCUCCCCAGUAAGUCCUUUUUGAAAUCAUUAAGUACUUCUUGUAACCGGUUCUCAAUUCUAAUUUCCAAUGCUUCCAUUUGUGCUUUCACUGAGUUAUCAGUGGCUAUUUCGUAAGACUGCA
This 355-nucleotide long non-coding RNA is filed under the name Musa acuminata (dwarf banana). RNAcentral's name for it is "long non-coding RNA (MACU_LNC004619)". The record is from RNAcentral. Lineage: Eukaryota; Viridiplantae; Streptophyta; Magnoliopsida; Zingiberales; Musaceae.